GUUAAGGGGUGCCUGCUGUUGCAGGCUGAGAUUAAACCCUCUGACCUGACCCAGAUAAUGCUGGCGUAGGGAUAACGAUUAUC
Molecule: non-coding RNA, 83 nt
Filed under: uncultured Prevotella sp.
Lineage: Bacteria; Pseudomonadati; Bacteroidota; Bacteroidia; Bacteroidales; Prevotellaceae
Description: TPP riboswitch (THI element)
Rfam family: TPP riboswitch aptamer (THI element)
About the family: Vitamin B(1) in its active form thiamin pyrophosphate (TPP) is an essential coenzyme that is synthesised by coupling of pyrimidine and thiazole moieties in bacteria. The previously detected thiamin-regulatory element, thi box was extended, resulting in a new, highly conserved RNA secondary structure, the THI element, which is widely distributed in eubacteria and also occurs in some archaea.
Source: RNAcentral